Podarcis lilfordi (Lilford's wall lizard) is the source of this 74-nucleotide non-coding RNA. The record is from the annotation of a GenBank genome assembly. NCBI's taxonomy places the organism in Eukaryota, Metazoa, Chordata, Lepidosauria, Squamata, Lacertidae.
GGAGGGCUGUAGCUAAGUGGUAGAGAAUCUGCUUCACAUGCAGGAGGUCGCAGGUUCAAAUCCUGGCAUCUCCA